RNAcentral lists this transfer RNA (86 nucleotides) under Methyloprofundus sedimenti. Its description in RNAcentral is "tRNA-Leu". It matches the Rfam family "tRNA". Rfam says of the family: Transfer RNA (tRNA) molecules are approximately 80 nucleotides in length. Their secondary structure includes four short double-helical elements and three loops (D, anti-codon, and T loops). RNAcentral also lists the same sequence under 1 other name. The record is from RNAcentral. Lineage: Bacteria; Pseudomonadati; Pseudomonadota; Gammaproteobacteria; Methylococcales; Methylococcaceae.
GCCUCGGUGGCGAAAUUGGUAGACGCAAGGGACUUAAAAUCCCUCGCCUUCUGGGUGUGCCGGUUCGACUCCGGCCCGAGGCACCA